Molecule: non-coding RNA, 115 nt
Organism: Triticum urartu
Lineage: Eukaryota; Viridiplantae; Streptophyta; Magnoliopsida; Poales; Poaceae
Source: Rfam
UAAAUACUCCCUCCGUUCGGAAUUACUUGUCGUAGAAAUUGAUGUAUCUAGACAUUUUUUAGUUCUAGAUACAUUCAUUUCUGCGACAAGUAAUUCGGAACGGAGAGAGUAUAUG